RNAcentral lists this ribosomal RNA (497 nucleotides) under uncultured bacterium. Its description in RNAcentral is "partial 16S ribosomal RNA". It matches the Rfam family "Bacterial small subunit ribosomal RNA", at positions 28 to 507 of the family's 1533-position model. The record is from RNAcentral.
GACGAACGCUGGCGGCGUGCCUAAUACAUGCCAGUCGAGCGCGGAAGGCUGGUCCUUGUACCCACUGGUUGAUCAGCGGACGGGUGAGUCACGCGUGGGGGAUCUGCCUUUGAGCGGGGGAUAACAUUAGGAAACGAUUGCUAAUACCGCAUAAAAUCUUGAAACACAAUUUUUAAGCUUGAAAGAUGCAAUUUCAUCACUCAAAGACGAUCCAGCGUUGUAUUAGCUAGUUGGUGUGGUAAGGUGUCACGCAGGCGAGGAUAGAUAGCCGACCUGAGAGGGGGAGCGGCCACGUUGGGACUGAGGCACGGCCCAAACCCCUACGAGAGGCAGCCGUAGGGGAUCCUCGGGGAUGGAAGAAAGUCGGACUGAGCAACGCCGCGUGAGUGAAGAAGCUUUUAGGGUCGUAAAAGUCAGGUAGUAGAGAAGAACGUUGGGGAGAGUGGAAAGCGCAGCAAGUGACGGUAACUGCCCAGAAAGGGACGGCUAACUACGUG